Molecule: unclassified non-coding RNA, 298 nt
Filed under: Bifiguratus adelaidae
Lineage: Eukaryota; Fungi; Mucoromycota; Endogonomycetes; Endogonales
Description: partial internal transcribed spacer region
Rfam family: Eukaryotic small subunit ribosomal RNA (bases 1-46)
Source: RNAcentral
AAGUCGUAACAAGGUUUCCGUAGGUGAACCUGCGGAAGGAUCAUUAACAAAGCUUGAAGUUCGCUCAACCGCGCGUCUUCAACAAAUCCAUCCACACCUUGUGCAAUAUUGACAUCGAGGCAAGUUCUUUCGGGAAUUUGCUGGUCUUGUGGGGGGAAAAACCUAAAGGAUAGGCAGGCCAUGCUUAACCUUUAAGCCCCCCCAAAGUAUUUAACCUAUACGUUUUUUAUUGGUUUGUCUGAAACUUUUUAUUGAUACAAUAUAAAAACAACUUUCAACAACGGAUCUCUUGGUUCUC